CCUACGGGCGGCUGCAGUGGGGAAUAUUGGACAAUGGGGGGAACCCUGAUCCAGCCAUGCCGCGUGUGUGAAGAAGGCCCUCGGGUUGUAAAGCACUUUCAGUGAGGAAGAACGCCUGGUGGUUAAUACCCAUCAGGAAAGACAUCACUCACAGAAGAAGCACCGGCUAACUCCGUGCCAGCAGCCGCGGUAAUACGGAGGGUGCGAGCGGUAAUCGGAAUUACUGGGCGUAAAGCGCGCGUAGGUGGCUUGAUAAGCCGGUUGUGAAAGCCCCGGGCUCAACCUGGGAACGGCAUCCGGAACUGUCAAGCUAGAGUGCAGGAGAGGAAGGUAGAAUUCCCGGUGUAGCGGUGAAAUGCGUAGAGAUCGGGAGGAAUACCAGUGGCGAAGGCGGCCUUCUGGACUGACACUGACACUGAGGUGCGAAAGCGUGGGUAGCAAACAGGAUUAGAUACCCCAGUAGUC
RNAcentral lists this ribosomal RNA (465 nucleotides) under Vreelandella stevensii. Its description in RNAcentral is "partial 16S ribosomal RNA". It matches the Rfam family "Bacterial small subunit ribosomal RNA", at positions 338 to 795 of the family's 1533-position model. The record is from RNAcentral. Lineage: Bacteria; Pseudomonadati; Pseudomonadota; Gammaproteobacteria; Oceanospirillales; Halomonadaceae.